This is a non-coding RNA of Schistosoma margrebowiei, 45 nucleotides long. The record is from Rfam. Lineage: Eukaryota; Metazoa; Platyhelminthes; Trematoda; Strigeidida; Schistosomatidae.
GUCCAACUGACGAGUUCCAGGCAGGACGAAACGCACGUCCUGGAU